AUACUUACCUGGUAGGGGAGAUACCAUGAUCUCAAAGGUGGUUUCCCAGGGUGAGGCUUAUCCACUACACUCCAGAUGUGCUGAAUAUAAAUAAAUAAUUACACAAAUAU
RNAcentral lists this small nuclear RNA (110 nucleotides) under Jaculus jaculus (lesser Egyptian jerboa). RNAcentral's name for it is "U1 spliceosomal RNA (ENSJJAG00000004554.1)". It matches the Rfam family "U1 spliceosomal RNA", at positions 1 to 131 of the family's 166-position model. From Rfam's summary of the family: U1 is a small nuclear RNA (snRNA) component of the spliceosome (involved in pre-mRNA splicing). Its 5' end forms complementary base pairs with the 5' splice junction, thus defining the 5' donor site of an intron. The record is from RNAcentral. Lineage: Eukaryota; Metazoa; Chordata; Mammalia; Rodentia; Dipodidae.